GUCCCCACCUCCUGAAAAUGGUUC
Molecule: non-coding RNA, 24 nt
Filed under: Gossypium hirsutum (cotton)
Lineage: Eukaryota; Viridiplantae; Streptophyta; Magnoliopsida; Malvales; Malvaceae
Source: RNAcentral